RNAcentral lists this ribosomal RNA (553 nucleotides) under uncultured archaeon. RNAcentral describes it as "bacterial SSU rRNA". It matches the Rfam family "Archaeal small subunit ribosomal RNA", at positions 325 to 879 of the family's 1478-position model. The record is from RNAcentral.
ACGGGGUGCAGCAGNCGAGAAANCUUUGCAAUGUGCGAAANCACGACAAGGUUAAUCCGAGUGAUUUCUGCUAAAGGAAUCUUUUGUCAGUCCUAGAAACACUGUUGAAUAAGGGGUGGGCAUGUUCUGGUGUCAGCCGCCGCGGUAAAACCAGCACCUCAAGUGGUCAGGAUGAUUAUUGGGCCUAAAGCAUCCGUAGCCUGCUUUGUCAGUUUUCGGUUAAAUCCAUACGCUCAACGUANGGGCUGCCGGAAAUACUGCAAAGCUAGGGAGUGGGAGAGGUAGACGGUACUCGGGAGGAAGGGGUAAAAUCCUUUGAUCUCNCGAUGACCACCUGUGGCGAAGGCGGUCUACCAGAACACGUCCGACGGUGAGGGAUGAAAGCUGGGGGAGCAAACCGGAUUAGAUACCCGGGUAGUCCCAGCUGUAAACUAUGCAAACUCAGUGAUGCAUUGGCUUGAUGCCAAUGCAGUGUUGCAGGGAAGCCGUUAAGUUUGCCGCCUGGGAAGUACGUACGCAAGUAUGAAACUUAAAGGAAUUGGCGGGGGAGCAC